This 200-nucleotide unclassified non-coding RNA is filed under the name Agaricus comtulus. Its description in RNAcentral is "partial internal transcribed spacer 2". The record is from RNAcentral. Lineage: Eukaryota; Fungi; Basidiomycota; Agaricomycetes; Agaricales; Agaricaceae.
AAUUCUCAACUCUCUUAUACUGUUUUGUAUACGAGAGCUUGGAUUGUGGAGGUUUGCUGGCUUUGCAGUCAGCUCCUCUGAAAUGCAUUAGCGGAACCGUUUGCGAUCUGCCACAAGUGUGAUAAAUUAUCUACACUGGCGAGGGGAUUGCUCUGUGUUGUUCAGCUUCCAAUUGUCUCUGUGAGACUAACUAUUUGAAU